UACAGAGGGGGCAAGCGUUGUUCGGAAUUACUGGGCGUAAAGGGCGCGUAGGCGGCCUUCUAAGUCGAACGUGAAAUCCCUGGGCUCAACCCAGGAACUGCGUCCGAGACUGGGAGGCUAGAAUCCGGGAGAGGGAUGUGGAAUUCCAGGUGUAGCGGUGAAAUGCGUAGAUAUCUGGAGGAACACCGGUGGCGAAGGCGGCAUCCUGGACCGGCAUUGACGCUGAGGCGCGAAAGCUAGGGGAGCAAACGGG
RNAcentral lists this ribosomal RNA (253 nucleotides) under uncultured bacterium. RNAcentral's name for it is "partial 16S ribosomal RNA". It matches the Rfam family "Bacterial small subunit ribosomal RNA", at positions 524 to 776 of the family's 1533-position model. The record is from RNAcentral.